UACAGAGGGUGCAAGCGUUAAUCGGAAUUACUGGGCGUAAAGCGCGCGUAGGUGGUUUGUUAAGUUGGAUGUGAAAGCCCCGGGCUCAACCUGGGAACUGCAUUCAAAACUGACAAGCUAGAGUAUGGUAGAGGGUGGUGGAAUUUCCUGUGUAGCGGUGAAAUGCGUAGAUAUCCGAAGGAACAUCAGUGGCGAAAGCGACUUCCUGGACCAGAACUGACGUUCAGGCACGAAAGCGUGGGGAGCAAACAGG
This 253-nucleotide ribosomal RNA is filed under the name uncultured bacterium. Its description in RNAcentral is "partial 16S ribosomal RNA". It matches the Rfam family "Bacterial small subunit ribosomal RNA", at positions 524 to 776 of the family's 1533-position model. The record is from RNAcentral.